This 464-nucleotide long non-coding RNA is filed under the name Nicotiana benthamiana. RNAcentral's name for it is "long non-coding RNA (NBEN_LNC029750)". Lineage: Eukaryota; Viridiplantae; Streptophyta; Magnoliopsida; Solanales; Solanaceae. The record is from RNAcentral.
CAAGUCCAAAAACAUGUUAUCAAGUUUUCUUACAAAGCUCAUGUUAGUUUAUUGCAUCUGUAGCUUACAGAUAAGACAAACACAGGCACAAUGUGAGGAAGAGCGCGAACACUAGUACAAAUAAAGUGUGGGCUUUAAGGAAGAACAGAUAAGACAAACACAGGCAAAAUGUGAGGAAGAGCGCAACCACUAGUAUAAAACCUCCAUAAAUAACUGAAGUCCUAUAGCAGAGUUUGAGCAAAACGGAAGUUAGAAUGCAGACACUUAAUAUUAAGUUUACAUUAACAACUGAACCCCGUAUAAGCGCGAGCUUGUUUACUUAAGGUUUAGAAUCUAACAUGAAAGUAGGGGCAAAGAGUUGAUUAACUGGAUUCUGACUAGUGAAUCGCAAUAGAAGCAUUUCAAGAAGCAAUUUGCCAUGGACAGGGACACCAGAUCCACAUGUACACCAUAAGAUCACAAAU